Molecule: ribosomal RNA, 973 nt
Filed under: Clostridioides difficile
Lineage: Bacteria; Bacillati; Bacillota; Clostridia; Peptostreptococcales; Peptostreptococcaceae
Description: bacterial SSU rRNA
Rfam family: Bacterial small subunit ribosomal RNA
Source: RNAcentral
UAAUAUAAGAGUUUGAUCCUGGCUCAGGAUGAACGCUGGCGGCGUGCUUAACACAUGCAAGUCGAGCGAAGUUGUGUUAACGGAGGGCUUCGGCCUAAAGAUGAUACAACUUAGCGGCGGACGGGUGAGUAACGUGUGGGUAACCUGCCAUAUACAGGGGAAUAAUCACUGGAAACGGUGACUAAUACCGCAUGUCACCGCGGGAGGGCAUCCUCCUGCGGGAAAAGGAGCAAUCCGGUAUAUGAUGGACCCGCAUCUGAUUAGCUAGUUGGUGAGAUAACAGCCCACCAAGGCGACGAUCAGUAGCCGACCUGAGAGGGUGAUCGGCCACAUUGGGACUGAGACACGGCCCAAACUCCUACGGGAGGCAGCAGUGGGGAAUAUUGCACAAUGGGGGAAACCCUGAUGCAGCAACGCCGCGUGAAGGAAGAAGGCUUUCGGGUCGUAAACUUCUAUCAAUAGGGACGAAGAAAGUGACGGUACCUAAAUAAGAAGCCCCGGCUAACUACGUGCCAGCAGCCGCGGUAAUACGUAGGGGGCAAGCGUUAUCCGGAAUUACUGGGUGUAAAGGGAGCGUAGGCGGCAUGGUAAGCCAGAUGUGAAAGCCCGGGGCUUAACUCCGAGGAUUGCAUUUGGAACUAUCAAGCUAGAGUACAGGAGAGGAAAGCGGAAUUCCUAGUGUAGCGGUGAAAUGCGUAGAUAUUAGGAAGAACACCAGUGGCGAAGGCGGCUUUCUGGACUGAAACUGACGCUGAGGCUCGAAAGCGUGGGGAGCAAACAGGAUUAGAUACCCUGGUAGUCCACGCUGUAAACGAUGAGCGCUAGGUGUCGGAGGGGAACCUUCGGUGCCGCAGUAAACACAAUAAGCGCUCCACCUGGGGAGUACGACCGCAAGGUUGAAACUCAAAGGAAUUGACGGGGGCCCGCACAAGCGGUGGAGCAUGUGGUUUAAUUCGAAGCAACGCGAAGAACC